GAUGGUAGUGUAUUGGACUACCAUGGCAUUUACGGGUAACGGGGAAUUAGGGUUCGAUUCCGGAGAGGGAGCCUGAGAAACGGCUACCACUUCUAAGGAAGGCAGCAGGCGCGUAAAUUACCCAAUCCUGACUCAGGGAGGUAGUGACAAGAAAUAACAACUCGGGGCCUCACGGCUUACGAGAUUGCAAUGAGAACAAUCCAAACCACUUAUCGAGGAACAAUUGGAGGGCAAGUCUGGUGCCAGCAGCCGCGGUAAUA
RNAcentral lists this ribosomal RNA (260 nucleotides) under uncultured eukaryote. RNAcentral describes it as "partial 18S rRNA". It matches the Rfam family "Eukaryotic small subunit ribosomal RNA", at positions 324 to 584 of the family's 1831-position model. The record is from RNAcentral.